ACGCUAGCGGCAGGCUUAACACAUGCAAGUCGAACGGUAACAGAAAAAGCUUGCUUUUUGCUGACGAGUGGCGAACGGGUGCGUAACGCGUAUGCAACCUACCUUCUUCUGAGGAAUAGCCCAGAGAAAUUUGGAUUAAUACCUCAUGAUAAUAUUUAUUCGCAUGUUUAAAUAUUUAAAGUUUUAGCGGAAGAAGAUGGGCAUGCGUGACAUUAGUUUGUUGGUGAGGUAACGGCUCACCAAGACUACGAUGUCUAGGGGGUCUGAGAGGAUGAUCCCCCACACUGGUACUGAGACACGGACCAGACUCCUACGGGAGGCAGCAGUGAGGAAUAUUGGUCAAUGGACGAAAGUCUGAACCAGCCAUGCCGCGUGAAGGAUGACGGCCCUACGGG
RNAcentral lists this ribosomal RNA (395 nucleotides) under uncultured Bacteroidota bacterium. RNAcentral describes it as "bacterial SSU rRNA". It matches the Rfam family "Bacterial small subunit ribosomal RNA", at positions 33 to 422 of the family's 1533-position model. Lineage: Bacteria; Pseudomonadati; Bacteroidota. The record is from RNAcentral.